This 249-nucleotide ribosomal RNA is filed under the name uncultured bacterium. Its description in RNAcentral is "partial 16S ribosomal RNA". It matches the Rfam family "Bacterial small subunit ribosomal RNA", at positions 28 to 264 of the family's 1533-position model. The record is from RNAcentral.
GAUGAACGCUAGCUACAGGCUUAACACAUGCAAGUCGCGGGGCGAGCGAUGUUACUGGCGUUGCCACGUAAUGAUGGCGACCGGCGCACGGGUGAGUAUCGCGUAUCCAACCUUCCCAUAUCCACGGGAUAGCCUGCCGAAAGGCAGAUUAAUACCGUAUGUUGUCGCACGCUGGCAUCAAAAUGCGACGAAAGGCUUAGCGGAUAUGGAUGGGGAUGCGUCCGAUUAGCUUGACGGCGGGGUAACGGG